CAAACACAGUUACACGAGGGCUAUACUACUAGCGAGAUGCAAGAAGUCCGCUGUUGGAUAACAAAUCAUGGGGAAACGGAAGACUAGUUUGCUUCAAUAAAGAGAAUGAUAAGUUUGAAAGAUCAGAGAAUAAAAGAGAAAGACCGUACCAAAGUACAGGUGAAAAAAAAGAACGAUCCUUAAGAAAUAAAGGAAAAAGAAGUGCCAAAAUAUGCAUCAUGUCUGUUCUUCCAGUACAACAGUCAGCUUGGUCCCCCUUAUCACAUCCUCGUCGACACCAAUUUUGUCAACUUCUCCAUCAAGGCUAAACUCGACAUAGUUCAGUCAAUGAUGGACUGCCUGUACGCCAAAUGUAUCCCAUGCAUCACAGACUGUGUAAUGGCUGAGAUAGAGAAACUGGGGAUGAAGUAUCGAGUAACUCUAAGGAUAGCCAAGGAUCCUUGGUUCGAACAACUGCCAUGCAACCACAAAGGAACUUACGCUGAUGACUGUUUAGUUUAAAGGGUAACACAGGUUCAACAUUGAAAGAAUGCCUGAUGACUAUGGUGCUCCAAGAUUUUAACAUUCAAUGGAUGGACAUAGAAUUUAAAUUCCAGUUGGACUGUGGCUUCUGUCGAGGAGGAUUUGAUUUGUUUGCCUGCUUAUUGUAUAUUGUCAAAGGACUUGAGUUCAUGCUGUUUUUUUUUUUUAUGAAAAAAGGAAUGACAUAAUAUUUUUUGCAAGCUUAUUCUGGCUGUGUUUUUUUACCAAUCCAAACCUAAUUUUUGUUCCAUAAAAGUGCAAUAAAUUAAUGGGAGAA
Salvelinus namaycush (lake trout) is the source of this 799-nucleotide long non-coding RNA. RefSeq lists it as uncharacterized. The record is from RefSeq and is a predicted model, not a curated record. The transcript has 7 exons. NCBI's taxonomy places the organism in Eukaryota, Metazoa, Chordata, Actinopteri, Salmoniformes, Salmonidae.